This 255-nucleotide ribosomal RNA is filed under the name uncultured bacterium. RNAcentral describes it as "partial 16S ribosomal RNA". It matches the Rfam family "Bacterial small subunit ribosomal RNA", at positions 524 to 776 of the family's 1533-position model. The record is from RNAcentral.
UACGUAGGGGGCAAGCGUUGUCCGGAUUUAUUGGGCGUAAAGAGCGUGUAGGCGGCCAAGCAGGUCAGCUGUGAAAACUCGAGGCUCAACCUCGAGACGUCGGUUGAAACCGCUACGGCUAGAGUCCGGAAGAGGAGAGUGGAAUUCCCGGUGUAGCGGUGAAAUGCGCAGAUAUCGGGAAGAACACCCGUGGCGAAGGCGGCUCUCUGGGACGGUACUGACGCUGAGACGCGAAAGCGGUGGGGAGCGAACAGG